UGUUAACCUAGCUCUCUGUUCUAUAUCAGGUUAACUCUGCUGUUAACCUAGCUCUCUGUUCUGUUCUAUAUCAGGUUAACUCUGCUGUUAACCUAGCUCUCUGUUCUGUUCUAUAUCAGGUUAACUCUGCUGUUAACCUAGCUCUCUGUUCUGUUCUAUAUCAGGUUAACUCUGCUGUUAACCUAGCUCUCUGUUCUAUAUCAGGUUAACUCUGCUAGUAACCUUGCUCUCUGUUCUGCUGUUAACCUUGCUCUCUGUUCUGUUCUAUAUCAGGUUAACUCUGCUGUUAACCUUGUGUGACAGUGUGUGUGUGUGUGUGUGUGUGUGUGUGUGUGUGUGUGUGUGUGUGUGUGU
This is a long non-coding RNA of Hypomesus transpacificus, 354 nucleotides long. RefSeq lists it as uncharacterized. NCBI's taxonomy places the organism in Eukaryota, Metazoa, Chordata, Actinopteri, Osmeriformes, Osmeridae. The record is from RefSeq and is a predicted model, not a curated record. The transcript is spliced from 2 exons.